Molecule: ribosomal RNA, 531 nt
Filed under: uncultured Planctomycetota bacterium
Lineage: Bacteria; Pseudomonadati; Planctomycetota
Description: bacterial SSU rRNA
Rfam family: Bacterial small subunit ribosomal RNA
Source: RNAcentral
CGGAGCGACGCCGCGUGAUGGACGAAGGCCCUCGGGUUGUAAACAUCUGUCGUAGGGGAGGAAAUUUUGACCGAUCCUAGGAGGAAGCGCAGGCUAAGUUCGUGCCAGCAGCCGCGGUAAUACGAACUGCGCAAACGUUAUUCGGAAUCACUGGGCUUAAAGGGUGCGUAGGCGGAUUGGUAGGUCAGAUGUGAAAUCCCACGGCUCAACCGUGGAACUGCGUUUGAAACCCCCAGUCUUGAGGGGAUCAGAGGAAAGCGGAACUGAUGGUGGAGCGGUGAAAUGCGUUGAUAUCAUCAGGAACACCGGUGGCGAAAGCGGCUCUCUGGGAUCUUUCUGACGCUGAGGCACGAAAGCUAGGGGAGCGAACGGGAUUAGAUACCCCGGUAGUCCUAGCUGUAAACGAUCUGUACUGGUCUGUGGGGGCUUCCACACCCUCUCGGACGUAGCGAAAGUGUUAAGUACAGCGCCUGGGGAGUAUGGUCGCAAGGCUGAAACUCAAAGGAAUUGACGGGGCUUUCACACAAAAAG